Molecule: long non-coding RNA, 361 nt
Filed under: Linum usitatissimum (flax)
Lineage: Eukaryota; Viridiplantae; Streptophyta; Magnoliopsida; Malpighiales; Linaceae
Description: long non-coding RNA (LUSI_LNC001320)
Source: RNAcentral
GGAAGCCGACGGCAUUUUGCUCCGGCCAAUCUACGUCGUAUCGAACGCCAACCCAUUCUCCGCUUCCCCAGCCAUCUUCUCAAUCCGAUGACUCCUCACCAUCUUAUUACUCGUUGCACAUAUCACCACCAAGCAGAUCGCACCCAACGCACCUGCCGCCGCCACGAUCACCUUCCUAAUCACCUCUGCCUUCUCCUCCUCCGCCUCCUCCCUUACCGACACCACUGCCGUAAACUUCCCGCUCCCUUCCGUCUCACAUAUAAAAUCUCCCGUCACGUUCCUCAGCUGAACCAGCCCUUGCCCCGCGACAAACUUCACGCACUUCAUCUCCUCCCCUGCCUCGGCCGCCAGUGGUGACUGG